RNAcentral lists this ribosomal RNA (470 nucleotides) under uncultured bacterium. RNAcentral describes it as "bacterial SSU rRNA". It matches the Rfam family "Bacterial small subunit ribosomal RNA", at positions 335 to 799 of the family's 1533-position model. The record is from RNAcentral.
ACUCCUACGGGAGGCAGCAGGUGAGGAAUAUUGGUCAAGUGGACGCAAGUCUGAACCAGCCAUGUCGCGUGCAGGAAGACUGCCCUAUGGGUUGUAAACUGCUUUUAUACGGGAAGAAAUAUAGCUACGUGUAGUUAUUUGCCGGUACCGUAUGAAUAAGCAUCGGCUAACUCCGUGCCAGCAGCCGCGGGUAAUACGGAGGAUGCGAGCGUUAUCCGGAUUCAUUGGGUUUAAAGGGUGCGUAGGCGGAAGUAUAAGUCAGGGGUGAAAGUUUGUGGCUCAACCAUAAAAUUGCCUUUGAUACUGUAUUUCUUGAGUACAUUUGAGGUAGGCGGAAUGUGUUGUGUAGCGGUGAAAUGCUUAGAUAUAACACAGAACACCGAUUGCGAAGGCAGCUUACUAAACUGUAACUGACGCUGAUGCACGAAAGCGUGGGGAUCGAACAGGAUUAGAUACCCUGUAGCACAGAG